GGGGCUGCAGCUCAGUGAUGGAGCAUCUGCUUGGCAUGCAGAAGAGCCCAGCUUCAAUCCUUGCUGUUUCCAGUUUCA
Molecule: transfer RNA, 78 nt
Filed under: Sphaerodactylus townsendi
Lineage: Eukaryota; Metazoa; Chordata; Lepidosauria; Squamata; Sphaerodactylidae
Description: tRNA-Ala
Rfam family: tRNA
About the family: Transfer RNA (tRNA) molecules are approximately 80 nucleotides in length. Their secondary structure includes four short double-helical elements and three loops (D, anti-codon, and T loops).
Source: RNAcentral